AAAAAAAAAAUCACAACAUGUCUAAAUGGAAUGUUUAUUAUUUUGUCAUUAUUUUUUCUUGAUUUUC
RNAcentral lists this non-coding RNA (67 nucleotides) under Heterosigma akashiwo. The record is from RNAcentral. Lineage: Eukaryota; Raphidophyceae; Chattonellales; Chattonellaceae.